RNAcentral lists this transfer RNA (72 nucleotides) under Mycobacterium tuberculosis variant bovis AF2122/97. Its description in RNAcentral is "tRNA-Lys". It matches the Rfam family "tRNA". From Rfam's summary of the family: Transfer RNA (tRNA) molecules are approximately 80 nucleotides in length. Lineage: Bacteria; Bacillati; Actinomycetota; Actinomycetes; Mycobacteriales; Mycobacteriaceae. The record is from RNAcentral.
CGCCGUUAGCUCAGUUGGUAGAGCAGCUGACUCUUAAUCAGCGGGUCCGGGGUUCGAAACCCUGACGGCGCA